Rhinopithecus roxellana (golden snub-nosed monkey) is the source of this 664-nucleotide long non-coding RNA. RefSeq lists it as uncharacterized. The record is from RefSeq and is a predicted model, not a curated record. The transcript has 3 exons. NCBI's taxonomy places the organism in Eukaryota, Metazoa, Chordata, Mammalia, Primates, Cercopithecidae.
GGAGCCAAGAAAGCGCUGGUACUUGAUGGCUGUUUGAGAGAAGGAAACAUUUCUCUGAUGCUAACUGGUGCUUCUGAGAGCAAGAUGUCAGGGAGGAGAGAAGCAUGGCCUCUUGAGACAAACCCAGCUGCUAAGAAUGUAAGCUCUGGUCUCACUUUGCGUUCCAGCCACACACCUAAGUGGCCCUUCCUAUGACCAAAGUUGAAGAUUAUGGGCCUGUGAUUUUGCAGAGUGUCUCAGAUUGGUUUGUUUGAAGUGUCUGCAUGGCAGAAACUUUUUGGCAGGAAUAUCAACAAAGUGAAGCUGUGUUCUCCUUACUGCACCCCAUCAGGAGGAUUCCUCACUGAUUAAAAUCUGAUUACAAAACAAGGGACCUAGAGAGACCUUCACUUCACUACUUCUCUACAGAUGCCUCCUGCUGCUUCCAACUUUUCUCCUUUAAGGCAGGGUGAAUCCAAAUCAUGGUCUCACCCCUGAAGGAGGCACCAAAGCAGUUUCGUUGCCCUGCAAAAAGCUUCUAGAGGAGCUCAUCUGAACGCUUGAAGAAACCAACCGCCUUUGCAAUUAUCUAAAAGGAAUUGAGUCAUUUUAACAAGACAUUAUUUCAGCCAUCCAUAGUCACAAUCACCUCUUUGAAAAAAAAAUACUGGUGGUUUGUUGUUUU